GUGGGGAAUAUUGCACAAUGGGCGAAAGCCUGAUGCAGCGACGCCGCGUGAGGGAUGACGGCCUUCGGGUUGUAAACCUCUUUCAGCAGGGAAGAAGCGAAAGUGACGGUACCUGCAGAAGAAGCGCCGGCUAACUACGUGCCAGCAGCCGCGGUAAUACGUAGGGCGCAAGCGUUGUCCGGAAUUAUUGGGCGUAAAGAGCUCGUAGGCGGCUUGUCACGUCGGGUGUGAAAGCCCGGGGCUUAACCCCGGGUCUGCAUUCGAUACGGGCUAGCUAGAGUGUGGUAGGGGAGAUCGGAAUUCCUGGUGUAGCGGUGAAAUGCGCAGAUAUCAGGAGGAACACCGGUGGCGAAGGCGGAUCUCUGGGCCAUUACUGACGCUGAGGAGCGAAAGCGUGGGGAGCGAACAGGAUUAGAAACCCCGGUAGUCC
Molecule: ribosomal RNA, 430 nt
Filed under: uncultured bacterium
Lineage: Bacteria
Description: bacterial SSU rRNA
Rfam family: Bacterial small subunit ribosomal RNA
Source: RNAcentral